CACUGCUCAGACUUCUGCCUUUCCUGACGAGGUGUCUAAUAGCUAAAUGAAACCAUGGGAAUUUCUCCAUCGAGAAAUCAGCAAUGCACUCUCACCCACAGCUAAUAUUUCAAAGUGGCAACUGCAUGAACAGGCCUGAAGGUCCAUCCUCAACGAGCUUCUAUGUAGCUACCAAUGCUAACAAGAAGGUUCUGUUGUCCUUUCCUCAAAGAGAGCACGUAUCUGAAAACAGCUCUGGUGCAGUUCUGCUGGAAGAAGCAAGAAGCUAUUAGCGGAGGCACUUGAGGCCGCUGUGCAAGUCCAUUACCCCAGAAAUAGAUUAAAGUAAGUUUGCAGAUCCGUGCUGGCCCAGCGUUCUCUCUCUUACCUGAAAGAAUGUGGCUCUGUUAGUAGGAGACAGAUGUUCUUAUCUCAUCCGCCUGACAAA
Long non-coding RNA from Myodes glareolus (Bank vole), 427 nucleotides. RefSeq lists it as uncharacterized. Lineage: Eukaryota; Metazoa; Chordata; Mammalia; Rodentia; Cricetidae. The record is from RefSeq and is a predicted model, not a curated record.